ACAUCGGUGGCACAGUGGUUAGUGCAGUCUGCCGGAAACAGAAGGACGUGGGUUCAAUUCCCGUCCGAUGUC
This 72-nucleotide transfer RNA is filed under the name Nippostrongylus brasiliensis. It matches the Rfam family "tRNA". Rfam says of the family: Transfer RNA (tRNA) molecules are approximately 80 nucleotides in length. The record is from Rfam by way of RNAcentral. Lineage: Eukaryota; Metazoa; Nematoda; Chromadorea; Rhabditida; Heligmosomidae.